Molecule: ribosomal RNA, 253 nt
Filed under: uncultured bacterium
Lineage: Bacteria
Description: partial 16S ribosomal RNA
Rfam family: Bacterial small subunit ribosomal RNA
Source: RNAcentral
UACAGAGGAGCCAAGCGUUGUCCGGAUUGACUGGGCGUAAAGCGCACGCAGGCGGGGGUGCGCGUGGGGUGUGAAAUCUGGCCGCUUAACGGCCAGGCGCCAUCCCAUACGGCACGCCUGGAGUGAUGCAGAGGUCGAUGGAAUUGCCGGUGUAGUGGUGAAAUGCGUAGAGAUCGGCAGGAACACCCAGGGGGAAACCAGUCGACUGGGCAUCUACUGACGCUGAGGUGCGAGAGCGUGGGGAGCGAACCGG